RNAcentral lists this ribosomal RNA (439 nucleotides) under uncultured bacterium. RNAcentral describes it as "bacterial SSU rRNA". It matches the Rfam family "Bacterial small subunit ribosomal RNA", at positions 338 to 795 of the family's 1533-position model. The record is from RNAcentral.
CCUACGGGGGGCAGCAGUGGGGAAUAUUGCACAAUGGGGGAAACCCUGAUGCAGCGACGCCGCGUGAGCGAUGAAUGCCUUCGGGUCGUAAAGCCCUGUCCUAAGGGAAGAUAAUGACGGUACCUUAGGAGGAAGCCCCGGCUAACUACGUGCCAGCAGCCGCGGUAAUACGAAGGGGGCGGGGGUUGUCCGGAAUUACUGGGCGUAAAGGGUGCGUAGGCGGUGAUUUAAGUCAGAUGAGAAAGACCUCGGCAUAACCGAGGUAAGCAUUUGAAACUGCAUAACUUGAGUGCAGGAGAGGAGAGUGGAAUUCCGAGUGGAGCGGUGAAAUGCGUAGAUAUUAGGAAGAACACCAGUGGCGAAGGCGACUCUCUGGACUGUAACUGACGCUGAGGCACGAAAGCGUGGGGAGCGAACAGGAUUAGAUACCCUUGUAGUC